GACGAACGCUGGCGGCGUGCCUAAUACAUGCAAGUUGAGCGCUGAAGGUUGGUACUUGUACCGACUGGAUGAGCAGCGAACGGGUGAGUAACGCGUGGGGAAUCUGCCUUUGAGCGGGGGACAACAUUUGGAAACGAAUGCUAAUACCGCAUAAAAACUUUAAACACAAGUUUUAAGUUUGAAAGAUGCAAUUGCAUCACUCAAAGAUGAUCCCGCGUUGUAUUAGCUAGUUGGUGAGGUAAAGGCUCACCAAGGCGAUGAUACAUAGCCGACCUGAGAGGGUGGUCGGCCAAAUUGGGAAUGAGACACGGCCCAAACUCCUACGGGAGGCAGCAGUAGGGAAUCUUCGGCAAUGGACGAAAGUCUGACCGAGCAACGCCGCGUGAGUGAAGAAGGUUUUCGGAUCGUAAAACUCUGUUGGUAGAGAAGAACGUUGGUGAGAGUGGAAAGCUCAUCAAGUGACGGUAACUACCCAGAAAGGGACGGCUAACUACGUG
This 497-nucleotide ribosomal RNA is filed under the name uncultured bacterium. RNAcentral describes it as "partial 16S ribosomal RNA". It matches the Rfam family "Bacterial small subunit ribosomal RNA", at positions 28 to 507 of the family's 1533-position model. The record is from RNAcentral.